GAUGAACGCUGGCGGCGUGCCUAAUACAUGCAAGUCGAGCGAACGGACGAGAAGCUUGCUUCUCUGAUGUUAGCGGCGGACGGGUGAGUAACACGUGGAUAACCUACCUAUAAGACUGGGAUAACUUCGGGAAACCGGAGCUAAUACCGGAUAAUAUUUUGAACCGCAUGGUUCAAAAGUGAAAGACGGUCUUGCUGUCACUUAUAGAUGGAUCCGCGCUGCAUUAGCUAGUUGGUAAGGUAACGGCUUACCAAGGCAACGAUGCAUAGCCGACCUGAGAGGGUGAUCGGCCACACUGGAACUGAGACACGGUCCAGACUCCUACGGGAGGCAGCAGUAGGGAAUCUUCCGCAAAGGGCGAAAGCCUGACGGAGCAACGCCGCGUGAGUGAUGAAGGUCUUCGGAUCGUAAAACUCUGUUAUUAGGGAAGAACAUAUGUGUAAGUAACUGUGCACGUCUUGACGGUACCUAAUCAGAAAGCCACGGCUAACUACGUG
RNAcentral lists this ribosomal RNA (497 nucleotides) under uncultured bacterium. RNAcentral's name for it is "partial 16S ribosomal RNA". It matches the Rfam family "Bacterial small subunit ribosomal RNA", at positions 28 to 507 of the family's 1533-position model. The record is from RNAcentral.